CUACACGGAGGUAUACGUCCUGAACCCCACAGAGGUUUAAACAGUGGUGUAGUAGGAGCUACACGGAGGUAUACGUCCUGAACCCCACAGAGGUUUAAACAGUGGUGUAGUAGGAGCUACACGGAGGUAUACGUCCUGAACCCCACAGAGGUUUAAACAGUGGUGUAGUAGGAGCAACACGGAGGUAUACGCCCUGAACCCCACAGAGGUUUAAACAGUGGUGUAGUAGGAGCUACACGGAGGUAUACAUCCUGAACCCCAAAGAGGUUUAAACAGUGGUGUAGUAGGAGCUACACGGAGGUAUACGCCCUGAACCCCACAGAGGUUUAAACAGUAGUGUAGUAGGAGCAACACGGAGGUAUACGUCCUGAACCCCACAGAGGUUUAAACAGGGGUGUAGUAGGAGCUACACGGAGGUAUACGCCCUGCGCCCCACAGAGGUUUAAACAGUGGUGUAGUAGGAGCUACACGGAGGUAUACGCCCUGAACCCCACAGAGGUUUAAACAGUGGUGUAGUAGGAGGUAUACGCCCUGCGCCCCACAGAGGUUUAAACAGUGGUGUAGUAGGAGCUACACGGAGGUAUACGUCCUGAACCCCACAGAGGUUUAAACAGUAGUGUAGUAGGAGCAACACGGAGGUAUACGUCCUGAACCCCACAGAGGUUUAAACAGUGGUGUAGUAGGAGCUACACGGAGGUAUACGCCCUGCGCCCCACAGAGGUUUAAACAGUGGUGUAGUAGGAGCUACACGGAGGUAUACGUCCUGAACCCCACAGAGGUUUAAACAGUGGUGUAGUAGGAGCUACACGGAGGUAUACGUCCUGAACCCCACAGAGGUUUAAUUAUGUGGUACAAUAGAGAAAGUAGCCUACACAAUCGCAAAGCACGUAAAAUAUAUUCACACGUUUGCUGCACACAGCCAAAUUUCAGCAGAAUUUCAUGGCAGUAAGAGCUGGUUGUCCCAUGGAGCAGCUCACAGCUGGUAGGUAGGACUUGCCUAGUUAAAUAAAGGUUAAAUGAAUCAAAUCAAAUGACAAUGGGUAAGCAAACCAGGUAUUGAAACCGUUUGGUCCAAAGUCUUGGUUGAAUCUUUGCAGUGUUCAAUUCAGUCAUCAUGUGCUGUUUUGAAUGAACAUUUCCAAAUGCUUUCCCAAGGAAAACGUCCUAAUUAAAGCUGCAAUAUGUAACUUUGGGCGACCCAACAAGUUCACAUUGACAUAUCUUUAACUCACAUUUCUUUCUCAUUGAAAGCAAGUCUAAUAAGUGGUAGAUAUGUUCUAUGUGCACUAUUUCUAUGCUUCCCAUUCUUAAGUUUAGUUUUUAUUUUGUUUUGUACACCAGUUUCAGAUGGCUGAAAAUACAAUAUUUUUGGUUAUGGAAAAUAUAUUGCAGAGGUUUAGAUGGUACAAAGAGACUCUAUACAAUUACUUAGUCACAUAAACUGAAAUUAACAGAAAUUAGGCGAACUUAGAAUUUUAGCAACCAGGAAAUGUCGGAGAUAUUUCUGUAUAGUGCAUCUUUAAAUGUUGACCGCAAGUUAGGCCUACGUGAUAUAAUUAUGAUUUGUAUCAAUCUGGAGGGCAUUUCUUUUGAAAACUCUUCCAUCACAUGUACUCUACUGUAGGUCUACAUUGUAGAGUACAGACACUGCCAGCCACAUGCUAUUUUGCUAGGUGCUUAAUUAUUUUAAAGGGCAACUAGACCCUCCCAAAAAUAUUCUUUUAGAUUUUUCCCAGACCUCAGAAAUGGUCUCCUUAUGUGGUAUAAGCAUUGAUGUGGGCUUAACAUGCAUUUGUUGUUUUUCUAUGAAAGAUUUUCUGUCAAAAUGAUGGUAUACUCACUUCUCCAGGCACCACUACACCAAUGGGUUUUCCUGUAUCUGUGAGUGAUUUCAUUUGGGACCUGAAUCUCCAACAGGCUUACUUCUGACAGGCUUGGUCUGUUUACUCGAUGGAUCAUCAUGCAUCACUCCCAUAGGCUGCUUCACUUGUCAAUCAUGUCUCUGCUAUCUCGCCCUCUAAUCUGCGAUAUCUCUCUCUCAAACACUCUGUCUCUCGUCGUCAACUCUUUCUUUCAGUAAGAUAUUAAGCAAGCUC
This 2096-nucleotide long non-coding RNA is filed under the name Salmo salar (Atlantic salmon). RNAcentral describes it as "lncRNA (ENSSSAG00000118722.1)". Lineage: Eukaryota; Metazoa; Chordata; Actinopteri; Salmoniformes; Salmonidae. The record is from RNAcentral.